Molecule: ribosomal RNA, 745 nt
Filed under: Isoptericola halotolerans
Lineage: Bacteria; Bacillati; Actinomycetota; Actinomycetes; Micrococcales; Promicromonosporaceae
Description: bacterial SSU rRNA
Rfam family: Bacterial small subunit ribosomal RNA
Source: RNAcentral
CAAGUCGAACGGUGAAGCCCAGCUUGCUGGGUGGAUCAGUGGCGAACGGGUGAGUAACACGUGAGCAACCUGCCCUCCACUUCGGGAUAAGCCUUGGAAACGGGGUCUAAUACCGGAUAUGAGCAUCUGCCGCAUGGUGGGUGUUGGAAAGUUUUUCGGUGGGGGAUGGGCUCGCGGCCUAUCAGCUUGUUGGUGGGGUGAUGGCCUACCAAGGCGUCGACGGGUAGCCGGCCUGAGAGGGCGACCGGCCACACUGGGACUGAGACACGGCCCAGACUCCUACGGGAGGCAGCAGUGGGGAAUAUUGCACAAUGGGCGAAAGCCUGAUGCAGCGACGCCGCGUGAGGGAUGACGGCCUUCGGGUUGUAAACCUCUUUCAGCAGGGAAGAAGGCCUUCGGGUGGACGGUACCUGCAGAAGAAGCGCCGGCUAACUACGUGCCAGCAGCCGCGGUAAUACGUAGGGCGCAAGCGUUGUCCGGAAUUAUUGGGCGUAAAGAGCUCGUAGGCGGUCUGUCGCGUCUGGUGUGAAAUCCCGAGGCUCAACCUCGGGCUUGCAUCGGGUACGGGCAGACUAGAGUACUGUAGGGGAGACUGGAAUUCCUGGUGUAGCGGUGGAAUGCGCAGAUAUCAGGAGGAACACCGAUGGCGAAGGCAGGUCUCUGGGCAGUUACUGACGCUGAGGAGCGAAAGCAUGGGGAGCGAACAGGAUUAGAUACCCUGGUAGUCCAUGCCGUAAACGUUGGG